GGAUCUCUGAGGCUGCCAAGAGGAGGAGGAAGUUGAUGAUUGCUAAGCGUCGGGAGUGUCUUCAACCCUGAGGCAGCAUCGGAGACCGUAAUCUUCUGCUCUCGUGGCAAGAAAUUUGCACGGAUAGAGUUGAUACACCUCGCUUGAGGUUGGCCUGGAGAAAGAGGCGUCGGACUCCGGGAAGGGGUUGGGAAACGGUCACCAGUUUCGGCUCAAAGCGGCGUGUUUCCAGGAGACCGCCAUGGUCGAGGCAGCGUCCCGGUCCCACGAGACGGGGAUCUUGCUGUGUUGCCCAAGCUGGUCUGGAACUCCUGGUGUCAAGCAAUCCUCCUACCACAGCCUCUCCAAGUGCUGGGAUUACAGGCAUGAGCCACCACACCCAGACGAUGUGAGAGAUACACUUGAUGUGAAUAUUGUAUUUUAUUGAAUGGCCUGCUUUUCAGACUCAUAUCUUGUCAUGACUUUUACAACUUCUGCUACUCCCUCUGUCCCUCAGGAACCUAGCUAACUUCUUUUUUUUUUUUUUGAGACGUAGUCUAGCUCUGCGACCCAGGCUGAACCUCACAGCCACCUCAACCUCCUGGAUUCAAGCGAUUCUUUUGCCUCAGCCUCCCAAGGAGCUGCGACUAUAGGCAUGAGCCACCGUGCCCGGUUAAUUUUUGUAUUUUUAGUAGAGAUGGGGUUUCACUAUGCUGACCAAGCUAGUCUCAAACUCCUGACCUCAAGUGAUCCGCCCGCCUCAGCCUCCCAAAGUACAGGAUUUAUAGGCGUAAGCCACCGUGCCUGACCUUGCUAACUUUUUUGUCUUUCAGUCUUUCCGGUUCUACGUUGAAAGUUACUUUGAGGAAACAUUUGAUCUUGCAGACUGGGCAACCUUGUGAAGCAAAAAAUGCCAACUAUGUGCCAGGCAAUAUGCUAGAUCCUAGGGAUACUGCAGUGAGCAAGCUUUUGAAACAUCUGCAAACAAGUUGUUCAUCUUAAUGCCAACUUCACAUGAAAGACAUUAACAUGCUUACCAGAGAAGGUGAGAGAAGAGACGUUGAGAGAGCUGCUUACCUGCUUCCUG
This is a long non-coding RNA of Rhinopithecus roxellana (golden snub-nosed monkey), 1066 nucleotides long. RefSeq lists it as uncharacterized. The transcript has 3 exons. The record is from RefSeq and is a predicted model, not a curated record. Lineage: Eukaryota; Metazoa; Chordata; Mammalia; Primates; Cercopithecidae.